RNAcentral lists this transfer RNA (77 nucleotides) under Bacillus phage vB_BanS-Thrax1. RNAcentral's name for it is "tRNA-Gln". It matches the Rfam family "tRNA". From Rfam's summary of the family: Transfer RNA (tRNA) molecules are approximately 80 nucleotides in length. Their secondary structure includes four short double-helical elements and three loops (D, anti-codon, and T loops). The record is from RNAcentral. Lineage: Duplodnaviria; Heunggongvirae; Uroviricota; Caudoviricetes.
UUUCGGUGUAGACAAACUGGUAAAGUCGCUUGGCUUUGACCCAAGAGCGUGAAGGUUCGACUCCUUCCACCGAAGUC